CGAGGAUGAGCCGGCUCUUCUCUAAAAGUGCAUCACGAGUGAAGGAUCAAGAUUAAGGAGGAGAAUGUUAGGUUUAAUCUUGAUCAUGCAUCUGCAUUUUUAGUUUUAGUCAUGCAUGUAUUUGUCCAGAGGUUGUACAUGUGACGUGUACAUGGCGUGCAAAGCGAUUUGCCCAAGAUCGUCGUGCGAAGCGGCGUGUCUGGCCAGAGCUGGGAUAGUCUGUUAGUUAGUUAGUGCAUGCAUGGCCGGGUCAUGGAAAUCAUGGAGAGAUUCCAGGGUUUGUUAGCAGCCGGACGUGCGUACAUGGAGGACGUGCUGUUAGUGGCCAGUAUGGUAGCUGGGUAUGUGUGCGUCGAUGUACUACUUAAGUUGUAAUGCUGCAUAUUUACUUUCAACGCAAGAGAAUAGAAAGAGAAGAAAAGACCGGAUGUGUGAUACAGUGGCACCAAACACCUGCGUCUUUUUCCCUGUUCUUGUGAGAGCUACGUGAGGUAGAAGAAGAGUAAGAGGGGCUGGGAGAGUUAGCCCAACAUUUGAUAUCGGAGCUAGGUUGAAGAUGACGCGUGACUCUUCAGCGAGUGGAGCGUUGGAGCCGGCAGUGGCCGCGAUGACGGCGGCGGCGGCGACGGCGAUGGCGCAGCGGGAAAGCUUCCAUUCCCGCUGCUAACAAGGACGAACUACGUGGCAUGGGCGAUGAGGAUGAAGUACCUCUUGCGAGCCAACGGCGCAUGGGCUGCCGUUGAUCGCGAGACGUCGUCCAUGAAGGUUGACAAGGGCAAGGAGGAGUUGGCCAUGACGAUCAUCUCCCAGUCGAUUGACGACACGACGCUGCUGCGCGUAGCAGAGAAGGAGACCGCUGCCGAUGUGUGGGCGUCUCUACGCUCCAUGCACGUUGGUGUCGAGCGCGUCCGGGAGGCGAGGAUUCAGUCCUUGCGCUCGGAGUUUGAUGGCCUCAAGAUGGGUGAUGCAGAGUCCGUGGAUGAUUUCGCGGCGAUGUUCACGACGCUCGUGGGACGCAUCCGUGAGCUUGGUGAUCCGCUGGAGGAGAAGUACAUGGUGAAGAAGCUGUUGCGAGCCGUCUCCAACAAGUUCAUCCACGUUGCUUCGUCAAUUGCGUUGUUCGGCGACACCAACAAGAUGGCCAUGGAGGAGGCCAUUGGUUCACUCAAGGCACAUGAGGAGCUCGUCAAGGGGCGGGAGACGACACGUGAAGAGGAGCAACUUUUCAUGGUGAGAGGGGAUGACUCGUCGCGAGGACGGGGUCGUGGCCGUGGACGCGCUGGAGGGCGCAAAGACAAAAGUGAGGUACAAUAUUACAAUUGUCGUGAUUUUGGGCAUUUUGCUUGGGAGUGUCCGGAGAAGAAGAAGGACAACGAGGAGAAGGCAUUGCUCGGCAUCGAGGAUGAGCCGGCUCUUCUCUAAAAGUGCAUCACGAGUGAAGGAUCAAGAUUAAGGAGGAGAAGGUUAGGUUUAAUCUUAAUCAUGUAUCUGCAUUUUUAGUUUCAGUCAUGCAUGUAUUUGUCCAGAGGUUGUACAUGUGAUGUGUACAUGGCGUGCAAAGCGAUUUGCCGAAGAUCGUCGUGCGAAGUUUCGUGUCUGGCCAGAGCUGGGAUAGUCUGUUAGUUAGUUAGUGCAUGCAUGGCCGGGUCAUGGAAAUCAUGGAGAGAUUCCAAGGUUUGUUAGCAGUUAGUGCAUGCAUGGCAGGGUCAUGGAAAUCAUGGAGAGAUUCCAGGGUUUGUUAGCAGCCGGACGUGCGUACAUGAAGGAUGUGCUAUUAGUGGCCAUUAUGAUAGCUGGGUAUGUGUGCGUCGAUGUACUACUUAAGUUGUAAUGCUGCAUAUUUACUUUCAACACAAAAGAAUAGAAAGAGAAGAAAAGGCCGGCUGUGUGAUACAGUGGCACCAAACAUAUGCGCUUUUUUCCCUGUUCUUGUGAGAGCUACGUGAGGUAGAAGAAGAGUAAGAGCCUAAGAGGGGCUGAGAGAGUUAGCCCCAACAGGUUUUGCCUCCUUUGGUGGCGAUCACUGGUGGAAAAACAGGCUUCCGUCCAGCCCCAUAAGUCGCGAAGCUGUAGGAACCGCGACUAAUGGGACCUUUAGUCGCGGUUCUGGAGGUGAACCGCGACCAAAGGCCUGGGCCCAGGGCGCUCGGUGGCCAGCUGGUGCACGUGAGGGGCUUUAGUCGCGGUUGGCCAGGACAACCGCGACUAAAGGCCUUCGGGCACCUUUAGUCACGGUUUGCCGGGCCAACCGCAACUAAAGCCCCUCCCCUAUAUAUACCCAUCCAGCAGCCAACACUUAGCCAUUUGGAGCCAUUCUCUUCACAAGUGGAUGUAGGUUUGCUUUUGGUUCCUCUUAUGCACAUAAGGUGUUUGAUGAAAUGCCCCAAGAGCAUGAAACAAACAUGACAUGAAGUGUUGGAGCCACACUCCUCGAUCGCGGUUAGCAACUUG
This 2451-nucleotide long non-coding RNA is filed under the name Hordeum vulgare. RNAcentral's name for it is "long non-coding RNA (HVUL_LNC008349)". Lineage: Eukaryota; Viridiplantae; Streptophyta; Magnoliopsida; Poales; Poaceae. The record is from RNAcentral.